GGGCGAAUGAUCUAGUGGUAUGGUGUCUGCUUCGCAUGACUCAGCGAUGGUUCGAUCUUUGUAGUAGAAUGUCCCGGGUUCAAUCCCCGGUUCGUCCA
This is a transfer RNA of Tilletiaria anomala, 98 nucleotides long. It matches the Rfam family "tRNA". Rfam says of the family: Transfer RNA (tRNA) molecules are approximately 80 nucleotides in length. Their secondary structure includes four short double-helical elements and three loops (D, anti-codon, and T loops). The record is from Rfam. NCBI's taxonomy places the organism in Eukaryota, Fungi, Basidiomycota, Exobasidiomycetes, Georgefischeriales, Tilletiariaceae.